This is a long non-coding RNA of Chinchilla lanigera (long-tailed chinchilla), 1674 nucleotides long. RefSeq lists it as uncharacterized. The transcript has 3 exons. NCBI's taxonomy places the organism in Eukaryota, Metazoa, Chordata, Mammalia, Rodentia, Chinchillidae. The record is from RefSeq and is a predicted model, not a curated record.
AGAUCUGCCUCAGUGAAGGUGCACGUCCUCUGUCAUCAAGCAGGAAAACAGUCUCAAGUAUAUGGUGUCCAUCCCGGCCAUCCUGCUGGAUCUGCUACAGCCAGGAACAGACGACUGCAAGAGGCUAAACCCACACGUUACUUCUCUACCCUCACACGGCUGACCUGCACAGCGGGCCGCUCCCUGUGCCCCUGCUGCACUUGCAAGUCCUUCCCACUCUCCUUUGCUGAGCUGUGGAAUGGGGCCCAGCCCCUGGAGGGCCUCUGUGCAGACGUCCCCCCUGCCAGUGACAGCCUCCUGUGCGGCAGCCUUGAAGACCUACCUGUGGACUUGCAGAUCCUCAGUUCCUGCAGCUCCCCUGAACCACAGGCUCACGCGUCCAGCCGAGUGUCUAAAAGGCACCUCACAGCUAACAUAUCCCCAGCUGGGCUCCUUAGCUUCCCCCCCAAACACGCGCCAUCUACACACACAUGCAGUUCAGAAAGCGGCAACCCCAUCCUCCCAGUUGCUCAGGCCUAGCUCCUGGGAGUCCUCCUCCACUCCACCUUUUCCUCUAAUCCAUCAGAAAGUCCUGUUGGCUCUACUUUCUCGAAUCUGACUACAGCUCCACCCCUCCAUGCCCUGACCUCGGGCUUGCUUCCUUCAGGUGCCAGAGUUUGCAACCUGUUGGAGAAAAACAACAUCAAGGUAGGAGAAGAAUAAGACUGUGUCUAGUUUGGGACUUCCUACUGAAAAGGGCGUGGAAGUGCUCAUGGAAGACUGGGUGCUCAGAGGUUAGCAGAUGGAUAAAAUGAAAGCCCAGGGGACUUUCUCAGACUCCUGGACAGAGUGUGAACCCUGAGGGCAGGGGACAGGUCAGAGCUGUCAGUGAUGGCUGUGAGGUCUUUAGACCCAGUGUCUCAAUGUGUUUUCUGUUGCUUCAAGAGAGUAUGUAAAAAGAGAGAGAGAGAGAAUAUGUAAGACUGGAUAAUUUAUUUUUCAAAAAGAAGCUUAGUUAGGCCCACAGUUCUGGAGGCUAGGAAGUCCAAGCGCAGGGGCUGUGCCUGGCAUGGAUCUUGUCCUGUACUGCAGUAAGAAAUGUGACCAGAGGUGAGCAUGAAGAAGAGGAAGCUAGAGGAACUGGGCUCACCCAGAAUGAUGGCGGCCCCUCGUGACCUAAUCGCCUGUUGUAGGCCCCUCCUUCAGCUGGGCCACAGGGGCAGUCAGAUUUCCACUGAGUUCCAGAGGAGACAAACAAGCCAUAGCUCCUAAGAAGGCAGCGCUUCCCUUGGGAGAAGCGGCUGUGGGCCCACAGGGGGCUUCCUGCUUUGCCUUCCUUGCUGGCUCCAGGCCUCCCUGCCCCUUUCCCCAGGGCCUCUGCCUGGUGCUCUGAAGCCAUAGCAGCCUUGGCAGAGAGGAUCUAGGAUAUUUUGUUUGUUUUUGUUCAGAUUUACUAGAAUCUUUCAAGCAUAGGAUUCUUCGGAGUUUUUGUUACAUCUCAGUACAGAUUAUAAAAACUUAAAUCCAAUAAAUUGAAGAAUCUAGGAGAAAUAGAUAAACUCCUAGACACAUACAACUUACAAAAACUGAACCAGAAAGGCUCAAAUAUCCAGAGCUAUUCAUAACAAAGAAUUAAAUUGGUUCAGUUAAAAUAAAUAAAUGCAGGGGCUGGGGAUUUAGCUCAGUGGCACAGCG